This is a long non-coding RNA of Gadus morhua (Atlantic cod), 8989 nucleotides long. The record is from Ensembl. Lineage: Eukaryota; Metazoa; Chordata; Actinopteri; Gadiformes; Gadidae.
AUGUACUUAACGCUGUCGGGGGGCGGUUGGAUAGUGCACAAGAGAGUCUAUACAUAUCCACACAGAUCGAUGUAUUGCAGGGGUCGCAACGUGAUGAAGGGGAUUGGCGAGGGUUUUCAGGACCCCCCGGCUGUGGCAGGGGUCCCUAUAGAGUCGAAUAUACAGGUCGGUGGUGGUGGCGGUGGUGGUGGCGUGGGGGGUGGCGGUGGUGGCGGUGAUGGCGAUGCUGUUGUUGACGAUGAUGGCGAUGCUGUUGUUGACGAUGAUGACAGUGGUGACGGUAGCGGUGUGGGGGAUGGAGGUGCUGGUGAUGGUGCUGCUUAUGAUGGUACACAGGUGUCUGCUGUAACGGGGGAAGAUAAUGGCGAGUUGCAUACCAGAUUAUUUCCCCGGUUUAACGGCUUUGAGGUUAGACAGUCCAUUGACCUGAGAAGUAUAUCCCUUGCAAAUUUACAGGAGGUCCCUGAUUUGAUCAGGGAGAGACUGUCAGAUGCCAUAACAAGCUGCUCGCAAAGUGCAGCCGAUGGUAGUGUCUUAAACGUGGUGCUGAGAGGUCCUUCAUUGGCCUCUGAUGUACAGGCUGUGCUCGUAACGGGUGACGAUUACAAUGAGGAUUUGUUUAUGGAGCAUAUUAGCCAAGUCAUACAGAGCAACGACACAGGUCUGACGGAUGAUGUGCUAGAGCUGGUGGUCACAGGGGUCCACAACAAACGGGGUGGGGCACGUUUGAAGUUAAAAAACAUUCCCUAUGAUGAAAUCAUACACAAGAAGAAGCUAAGUCUCUACACCCCGAGUAAUACUCAUAACAAUUUGUGUUUCUCACUAUGCAUGACACAUUUUCUGCAUGAAGGGGUAACCGGGGGUGACACAGCGUCCGAAGAGACUAAUUUGGAGGCGGCUCGCAAAUUACACAGUGAUCUGGGGUUUGACCCGGAUCACUCUGUGGGUUUCUCGGAUGUUUCCAAAUUUGAGAGACAUCUAGAUGUUAAAAUCCUGAUAUUUCAUCAUAAUGACACAUUCAGGAAGCUGGAGAUGUUCCAGACACAUACAGCCCAGCAUCCUAAAACAGUAUGGCUGUACCUCCAUGAUAGCCACUAUCAUUGCAUAGAGAACAGAACGGCAUUCUUUGGUACGGGAUAUGUGUGUGAAUAUUGCUACAAGGCCCAUGAGGGAAUUCUAUUACACAAAUGCCCGAUCCAUUGCAAUGUGUGUCUGACAGUGUGCGAUAGACUAUCAGGUCGUACGAUAAAGUGCAAGGACUGUAGUCGUAUAUGCCGCUCGCUGGUCUGCUACAACACACACAAGAAGCAUUCUGCCAAACAUGACAUGAUACCUUGUGAAAAGCUCAAAUACUGCGAUCGUUGUUGUAGACAGUAUAUCAUAUCGAAGAAGAAGAAGAAGAAGAAGGGGGUGGGGGAGGAGGAGGAGGAGGAGGAUGAGGAAGGUGACGAUAAUGGUCACGUAUGCAGCGAUGCAAAGUGUCGUAACUGUGGGGAGCCGUUGCCCGAUGAUGGAGUACAUGAUUGCUAUAUCCAGCCGUACGACAAGAAAAAGAAAAAGAAACGCGGGGGUGGUCGCGGGGGUCCAUCGGAUGACUCUGAUGUCGACGUUCCGCCUAAUAAAUACAUAUACUAUGAUUUCGAAACGCGCAUGCAUGAUGGUCGUCACGAAGCAAACUGUGUGGCAGCUACAACGUCUGAAGGCAUAGAAUGGUAUGCUACAGGUCUAGGUUGUGUAAGCGAGUUUGUGAAACGCUACAGAAGAGGGGAGUAUACGUUGUAUACAUUUGUGGCACACAACGCGUCGGGCUUUGAUAACUAUAUCGUCCUGGAUUACAUGACCAAGCAGGGUAUUAAACCCACUUUAGUCAUGAAGGGUAGCAGAGUCAUUUUGAUGCGUGAUGACGCCUACCAUCAGAGAUGGGUCGACUCGUUUAGCUUCUUGCCCAUGCGAUUGGCUAAUGCACCGGCGGCGUUGGAUUUUGAUGAUAUGUUAAAAGGUUAUUUUCCUCAUAAAUUCAACACACGGGCCAACGAGUCUUAUGUCGGUGCCUACCCUGAGAUCUCAUAUUAUGGAUAUGAUUCCAUGACUAGCGAUCAAAAGACAGAUUUCGCUAUUUGGUACAGAUCUGUGCGACACAAAAAAUUUGACUUUCAGAAACAGCUGCGUCUCUACUGUGUCAACGACGUGAGGAUCCUAUACAAGGCGUGUAGGAUCUACAGGGAAAAUUUCAUAGAGUGUGCCACUAUAGACCCCUUGUCCUAUGCCACUCUGGCUUCGGCGUGCAUGGCCACCUUCAAAAAGUCGUUCUUGAAGAAAAACGUCCUGGCACUGACCUACGAGGGUGUCUAUCAGAAAAAGCAAAAGUCGUUCUCAUGCGCAUCCAUCCAGUGGCUUGAAUAUCUAUCCCACUCCAAUAACAUGGAGAUUCGGCAUGCUCUCAACCAUGGAGAGGCUAAAUAUGGACCAUUCUUCCUAGACGGACAUGCACCGUCUAUAAACACAGCCUAUGAAUUUGCAGGAUGCUUUUAUCAUGGGUGUGAACAGUGCUACAACGCUGGCCACCAGAACCCUGUCCUCAGGAAGACCUAUGGCGAAUUGUGGGUGCAGUUUCACCUCAAAGUCGAGGCUCUCAAAAGAGAUCAUGGUUUAAGAGUUGUGGUCAUGUGGGAGUGUGAGUGGCACCGUCUGAAAAAGACCAAUGCUGCAGUGCAGGCAUUCUUGGCUACUCUGAAAAUACAACCUAGGAUUGAUCCUCGCGACUCUCUCUAUGGGGGUCGCACCAACGCCAUCAAAAUGUAUCACAAGGCCGUGCCCGGUGAGAAAAUACGCUACUAUGACUUUACCUCUCUCUACCCCACAGUACAGGCCCGCUGUCCUUAUCCUGUAGAGCACCCCCAGAUCAUUUUCAGGAAUUUUGGUCCUUUGGAUGGGUAUUUCGGCAUCAUCAAAUGCACCGUGUUGCCCCCCAGAGGUCUUUACCAUCCUGUGCUCCCCUAUAGGUGUCAUGGAAAGCUGAUGUUUCCCCUCUGUGGUACAUGUGCCACUGAGCUCAAUCAGACAGACGCGUGUCAUCACAGCAACGAUGAACGGGCUCUGACAGGCACCUGGGUGACUUUUGAGCUACAAAAAGCGGUCGAAAUGGGUUACGUGUUAAUCCAAAUGCAUGAGGUGUGGCACUACCCCGAACGGUCAGAGACUCUGUUUAAAGGGUAUGUCAAAACGUUUCUCAAGCGUAAACAGGAGGCUUCAGGAUACCCCAGCACAGUGGACACUGCGGAGAAACAGCGAGCGUAUGUGCAAAACUAUCUGGCAAAGGAGGGUAUACAGUUGGAUCACAACAACAUGUGUGUGAACAAGGCCAUGCGUAAUUGCAACAAGUUGAUUCUAAACAGUCUGUGGGGUCGCUUUUCACUACGCCCAGACCUACCCACGUGUGAGCUAAUUUCUGACCCUGAAAGGUUCACUCAGCUCAUGUUUAGCGAUAGCUAUCACAUUAGCCACUUUUGCUUUAUCUCUGAUGAAGUAGCCCUUGUACAAUGGAAACAUGUAGAUGCACGUCUCGCGAGGGCACGGGAUGUCAACGUGAUUGUGGGGGCUGUAACCACCGCCCAUGCCAGGCUCAUGCUCUACGAUCUUCUAGACAAACUACAGGAACGUGUCCUCUAUUGUGACACAGACAGCAUCAUUUUUGUUUCUAAGGAGGGUGACUGGGUACCCCCUUUAGGCCCUUAUCUGGGCGACUUGACCGACGAGCUAAAUGAUGGUGAUCUGUAUGGUACCGAGCAGGAGGAUUACAUUAGCGAAUAUGUCUCAACAGGUCCUAAAAGCUAUGCAUACCACACCCGUGCCCACAAGUCUGUCGUCAAAAGCAAAGGGGUGACUUUAAAUGCAGCAAAUGCUGAAGUGGUCACCCAGCAGACCCUGAAAUGUCUAUUGGAUGAUUUUGUCAACCAUCGGCCUCAAACCCUCGACAUCACCACCACCGUAGAUACCAUCCGGCGAGAUAAGACUAGGUUUCUGCUUAAAAAUGCUACGGUAGUUAAACGGCUUAGGGUGGUUUACAACAAACGCAGGGUCUUCCCCGACUACACCACGCUUCCUUACGGCUAUUAACCAUUUUGUUUAUUGUUUUUUUCUCUUUUUCACAUGAUCCAUGUUUUUUCUUCUUCUUCUUUUUACAUAUUGUUUUCAAAUGAUCCAUGUUUUUAUUCAUUUUAUAUUUUUUGAGGGGGGUAUGCAUAUUGUGUUAAGAAUUGUUUCAUGUUCAUGCUAUUAGCUAUUUUGUUUUUAUUGUUUUCAAAUGAUCCAUGUUUUUAUUCAUUUUAUAUUUUUUGAGGGGGGUAUGCAUAUUGUGUUAAGAAUUGUUUCAUGUUCAUGCUAUUAGCUAUUUUGUUUUUAUUGUUUUCAAAUGAUCCAUGUUCUCUUCUUUCAUCUUUUUUUUUAUUUUAAUCAUUUUUUUUUUUUUAUGCAUCAUGUAUUAAUGAUGAAUGACUGUGCUAAUAAUCAUGUCGGUGUUAAUAAAGAAUGUUAACUGUCAAAUGUUUCACGGUUCUAUGGUCACAAUACAUCCGUCCAUCAGAGGGGGUGCACGCAGACCGCAGAGAUGGCUGCUGUACACACAACGUUCGACCCUAGACUUCAACACCCGUUCAGCAUGGUAGUAUCGGGACCUUCAAACAGCGGCAAAACCUACUUUGUCAAAACAGUCAUUGAAAAUAUGGAUCGGUUAUUCUCAGAAAAGAUUGAAAAUAUAGUAUAUGUUUACUCAUGCUGGCAGCCCAUAUAUGAUGAUUUGCUUAAAAUAAGGAACAUUCACUUUGUAGAAGGGAUCCCCAAAUCUCUAUGUGAUGAUGCAAUCUUACCAGUCCAUACUAGAAAUCUGCUCAUUAUUGACGACUUGAUGAACGAUGCAUGCAAUAAUAUAGAGGUUCAGUACGUUUUUACCAAAUAUGUACACCAUCGUAAUCUCAGCUGUAUGUAUCUGGUUCAGAAUUUAUUUAUGCAGGGUAAAACCAGCCGUACAAUUAGUCUAAAUACCAAUUACAUGGUUUUGUUUAAGAACCCUCGUGACAAAUAUCAGAUUAUGUUGAUAGCCAAACAGAUGUUUCCAUGCAAGACAAAAUAUUUUCUAGAAGCCUUCAACGACGCUACCGACAUGCCUUACGGCUAUCUGCUUGUAGACUUUAAAGCCAUGACCCCGGACAACAUGAGACUUAGAACAGAUAUAUUGUCAGACCGACAUGUUGUAUACACUCAGAGAGUCAAAGUGAUUAGCCCAAAAGACCAUGUCCUCACGUAUAAGUAGAAACCGUGAGCGUCUUAAGCAGCUAUAUAGCGCCCCUCCGGCUCAGCGUAAAGUUAUCCUCAGGACAGCCAACGCCGACUUUAUCAACUCGCUGUGUGAAAUAGCCUUGAACAUUUUACAGGGCAAAAUACCUCUGACUCCACGCCAGCAUACGAAAUUGCGUAGACGAAAGAAGGACCUCAGAAUACUCGCCAAUAAAAAUGUACUAAUAUCUAGAAAGAAAAGACUAAUCAAUCAGACUGGUGGAUUUCUUCUACCCCUACUGUCUGUGGCCAUACCGUUGUUUACAAGCCUGUUCUCAAGAGGCGGGUGAUUAUAAUGGAUCAUACGCACAAGAUGUAUCUAGUUCCUCAACAUCAACUCGAUGCCUUAAAGCAUACCCAACCCAGGGAUUCUGUUAGACAGACUGCUGAAAAUGAGCUGGAUAAGGCCAUUGCGAUGGUGUUGAACACUCCCGAUACAGACCUAUAUGAAAAAGCGGCCAGGUACGGAGCGGUCCUACAGCGUUAUCUAUCCAUGAUAAAACAAGGGCAACGCGAACACGGAGAAUUAACUCUGUCACUUGCUGAGGGGGACCCAGUUCAUACGCCUAUGUCGGCCCGGCAUGGUGUUGAUGACGAUGAUGGCACCGGCGAUCAUAUUUAUAAGGAUAUAAUGAAACAUAUACCCGUCAGAAGCAAGAGCAAUACCAGACAUAUCCUGGACUCUUUAAAGAAAUCUAAAAAUGUUUCAUGGACGGACAAGGGGGAGAUCAUAUUACGAGGCGAAACUAUUAAGGGGUCCCAUAUGUUUGAUUUGUUAAAGAAUGUUACCGCCCCUUACCAUGUUGUCGAAUCUGUCAGACCACAGGGCUGGAAUGUAUUUCUGAAAUCUUUAGCCAGUAACAAUAUACCACUAUCGUCUAUCCCUAAUAAGCAGCUCAGACAAACUGUAAACAUGUAUAAGCAUAGUCCCGUCACUACGGACGACAAUGCGAUGGCCUCCGUCCCUGUCUCGUCUGAUAAAAGGAGGAAACGCAAGCAGCCAUUGUCAUCUAAUACUUCCCCUGGAAUGCAUAUGGCCGGGUGGUUACCAUUUUAAAUCAUGUAUCUAAAUGUAUGUUUUAUCCGUAAAAAAAAAAUAAAAGAAAACAGUACGACUAAAAUGUAAUCAAAAUAUUGUAUUUUUUAUUAUCAAUACAGAAAACAAACAUAACAACACGUGUUACAUGUUACAUCCGCAUACACAUGACUGCACACACGUCAUAUCAUGUUCAUUACAGACAUUAGGUUGUACACGGUUAACAAAGUCAUAAACCUUUUCAUCGUUACGGGGUAAAUUAUCCCCAUACAUUUUCAAAAACUUAUGAUAGGAUACCCCUUUUUGCAUAUUAAACAAGAAAAAAACACAAUGAUGCCCACAUGCUGUACUUGACGGAUCCUGGACCUGUUGUGUAGAAUGAACAACAUCUAUACAGUGCUGAUCGAGAAAACGCUGUAUGGUCUCAGGAAACUCAGAGUAUGAGGGAGGGUUACCGUAGGAGUCGAAAAAGUACCCCUGUUUCUCAUCUGUAAUAUAGAUGGCUAGCCAAUGUGCACCGGCCAUAUGCGAAGGUUCGGUGUUGACCACCAUCAUUACAGGUCUCUGAUGAAUUUCCCGGGGUAGGUGAUUACACGGUAACGCGCCGAGAAAAUAUGCCUUGUGGGCCAUUUUCUGACACACUGCUGUUAGCUCUAUAGUAUUCAUAUCGCACCGACUUUUUAGUAAUAGUCCAACAGCACCUGCCGUCUAUUUGAUAUUUCUAUAACAGAAUCAUAAACUGCAUAACAUAUCAAAUUGACCGUUGUAGCCAGUGCUGCUCUGAAUCGUGCCUCUAGCCUCACAUUCCCUGUUCUGACUAGCGAUACAUGUUGCCCACAGCCCUCAUCUGCCUCAAGGUUGAAACAAAAUAAUGCAUACCCGUCCCCGAAUUCCUUAUGGUUAAUAGCUAUUUCUCUAUCUUUGAGCUGACGACCUGUAGCCUGAAUGAGCUGGAAAUAUUCUCGAGUAUAGAGGCCAUUUCUAAAGUCAGGCUGAAAGGGCUUAGAGGGGUAUGCUUGACCGUCGCAAUAUAGGGAUAAGAACUCAAUGCCGAAAUGUUGGAAUCUGAAAGGAUUCCUGGCAUAGCUCCCUGUGAAUGCUUCGUUAUUCACAAAACCUAUAAUAACCAUCUUGGGUAUUUGUCCUAGAAAUAGAUUAUCCUGUGUGCAUAUACGGCUGCCCGCUGCGAUGGAUACAUUCUUUAGACAUACCCUAUCAACAGGGUAUUUAACGUUAGCCUGGUUUAACGCACGGGCAUGUGCCAGCUUGACGCCUGGUGCUACCGAUACCUUUUUAAUGAAAACAUUUGCAGACACUAUAGAGACACGGUAUUCCACAGCACCAUCGGACAUGAGACAGAAAUCAUUUUUUGCUCUAAUGAAUCUCAUACGGAGAUCAACUCCGUUAAUCAUCAGUUUCUCCUGAAAAAACAUAUCGACGUGUAUAGGGGAUAUCAGCUCCGCUAUACGACUUCGCCCCGUAUAUUCACUCCUUGUCGUUAAGCCUAGAUUGAGACCUCCAGGAAGAAUCUCGUCCAUAUGUCCGUGUGUGUCUUUCUGGAAUAGACCACAACCAAAUUGGGUGUCUAAUGUUCCGUUUCCAUAGUUUAGCAGGCAUUCUAUUAUGCCUCUGUACGGAUAGGUGUUUGACGACUGGGUGAUAAGCCUAUCACCCAGAGUAAUAUCUACUUGGGAGAAUAACGUGCAUCCUGGAUAGUUAAUCAGUCCAACGGGUGCCGCCGGCGCCAAGUCUGUUCCAUCAGGAUUAGUAAUCUUGAUCCUCAGGUGUAAAUACGUAUUGUUUAGAUCCAUAUAGUCUUCGCUACUGGCCGAUACAAAGAACUCUAUGGGGCCACCAUCUGUUAGCGCUGAUAGCGGGGGUAUUUCAAUAUAUGUACUUUUUUCUAUCGAUGUCUGCGUCAUAGGCAGGGAGAAGAGAUCCAGUUCGCUCUUAAUGCACUCGUCUGACAUGUUAUGUAGCAACGCCAUUGUUAUUCAACCCUCCUGCUAUACUAGAUGAAUAUAUCGUUAGCCGUCCCUCUAAAACGACGGGCUGCCCCCUUCCUGAUCCUUUUAGGUUUGGCUCUCUUUUUGAUGGAUGCCAAUCUUUUAUUCUGUUUACGACGACGUGCUGGUGCACGGGUACGCCCACAUCCUAUAGGCGGAUACUUUGUUGCUCUUCGGGCAUAUACCCUCAUGCCUGCCCCCUGCUGUUUGGGCGUAGAUGCAGCAUGGGCUAUGUUGGUCAUAACGUCGCCUAUAAUAUGUUUAGCAGCAGUCUUCAGAUGAGGCUUUGCUAUACUAACCCCUCGCCUAAAUAACGGAAUAGCCAUUCUAAAGAGGCUACGGAACAUCCCUCCGAUGCCAGCACCAUAUUGUGUGCUGCUACCCUCAUAGCCAGGUAGCCCACUCCCUGCUUGGUUUAAAUAAUACUGAACAUAUUUGUUCUCGUCGUAAGGCGGUCUAUACCCCCUCAUCCCUAUAGAUGGGGCUAUGAAUGCUACUGUUUUACAGGUCUAAAAUGCAGCUUGAGUAUCACUUUGCCGUAUGUGAAUUUUAUAUUUGUAUUCUGGUCAGACUUUAGAUCGAUUUCAAUAUCUCCAAGAGGGUCUCGGGCUACGUG